GAUGAACGCUGGCGGCGUGCCUAAUACAUGCAAGUCGAGCGAACAGACGAUGCGCUUGCUCCUCUGACGUUAGCGGCGGACGGGUGAGUAACACGUGGAUAACCUACCUAUAAGACUGGGAUAACUUCGGGAAACCGGGCCAAUACCGGAUUAUUUUAUUGAUCCCCUUGGUUCAUUGUUAAAUGCCGUUUUUGUUUUACUUAUUCGUGGCUCCUCGCCGCAUUAGCUAGUUGGUAAGGUAACGGCUUAUCAAGGGAAAGAUGCGUAGCCGACCUGAGAGGGUGAUCGGCCACACGGGAACUGAGACACGGUCCAGACUCCUACGGGAGGCAGCAGUAGGGAAUCUUCCGCAAUGGGCGAAAGCCUGACGGAGCAACGCCGCGUGAGUGAUGAAGGUCUUCGGAUCGUAAAACUCUGUUAUUAGGGAAGAACAAAUGUGUAAGUAACUAUGCACGUCUUGACGGUACCUAAUCAGAAAGCCACGGCUAACUACGUG
Molecule: ribosomal RNA, 496 nt
Filed under: uncultured bacterium
Lineage: Bacteria
Description: partial 16S ribosomal RNA
Rfam family: Bacterial small subunit ribosomal RNA
Source: RNAcentral